AUAUCAAUAAGCGGAGGAAAAGAAACCAACAGGGAUUGCCUUAGUAGCGGCGAGUGAAGCGGCAAAAGCUCAAAUUUGAAAUCUGGUACUUUCAGUAUCCGAGUUGUAAUUUGUAGAAGCAACUUUGGUGAUGGUCUUUGCAUAAGUUCCUUGGAAUAGGACGUCAUAGAGGGUGAGAAUCCCGUUUAUGGUGAAGAACCCACACUAUGUAAAGUGCUUUCGAAGAGUCGAGUUGUUUGGGAAUGCAGCUCAAAGUGGGUGGUAAAUUCCAUCUAAAGCUAAAUAUUGGCGAGAGACCGAUAGCGAACAAGUACUGUGAAGGAAAGAUGAAAAGAACUUUGAAAAGAGAGUGAAAAAGUACGUGAAAUUGUUGAAAGGGAAGGGAUCUAAAUCAGACAUGGUAUUUUGUGAUCAACAGUCUUUCGGGACUGUGCACUCGCAUUUUACUAGGCCAGCAUCGGUUAGAAGGGGGUAAAAAAGAUUUUGGAAUGUGGCUCCUCGGAGUGUUAUAGCCAAGGUUAAUUGCCCCAUUUCUGACCGAGGACCGCGUCUUUUGACUAGGAUGCUGGCGUAA
RNAcentral lists this ribosomal RNA (574 nucleotides) under [Candida] sp. BG98-8-14-1-4-1. RNAcentral describes it as "eukaryotic LSU rRNA". It matches the Rfam family "Eukaryotic large subunit ribosomal RNA", at positions 40 to 634 of the family's 3401-position model. Lineage: Eukaryota; Fungi; Ascomycota; Saccharomycetes; Saccharomycetales. The record is from RNAcentral.